CGGCGGGUAGAAUCCUUUGCAGACG
Molecule: small nuclear RNA, 25 nt
Filed under: Arabidopsis thaliana (thale cress)
Lineage: Eukaryota; Viridiplantae; Streptophyta; Magnoliopsida; Brassicales; Brassicaceae
Description: snRNA_03141
Source: RNAcentral